This 238-nucleotide unclassified non-coding RNA is filed under the name Chaetosphaeria sp. RNAcentral's name for it is "partial contains 5.8S ribosomal RNA, internal transcribed spacer 2, and large subunit ribosomal RNA". The record is from RNAcentral. Lineage: Eukaryota; Fungi; Ascomycota; Sordariomycetes; Chaetosphaeriales; Chaetosphaeriaceae.
CGCACAUUGCGCCCGCCAGCAUUCUGGCGGGCAUGCCUGUCCGAGCGUCAUUUCCACCCUCAGGCCCUGCCUGGUGUUGGGGACCUGCAGCUGCUGCAGCCCCCCAAAGACAACGGCGUGCCUGCCGGGCCCCGAGCGUAGUAACACACCUCGCCUGGGAAGUCCUGCAGCGCCCUGCCGCGAACCAAACACUUCUAAGGUUGACCUCGGAUCAGGUAGGAAUACCCGCUGAACUUAA